AUUGAACGCUGGCGGCAGGCCUAACACAUGCCAGUCGAGCGGAUGAGUGGAGCUUGCUCCAUGAUUCAGCUGCGGACGGGUGAGUAAUGCCUAGGAAUCUGCCUGGUAGUGGGGGACAACGUUUCGAAAGGAACGCUAAUACCGCAUACGUCCUACGGGAGAAAGUGGGGGAUCUUCGGACCUCACGCUAUCAGAUGAGCCUAGGUCGGAUUAGCUAGUUGGUGAGGUAAAGGCUCACCAAGGCGACGAUCCGUAACUGGUCUGAGAGGAUGAUCAGUCACACUGGAACUGAGACACGGUCCAGACUCCUACGGGAGGCAGCAGUGGGGAAUAUUGGACAAUGGGCGAAAGCCUGAUCCAGCCAUGCCGCGUGUGUGAAGAAGGUCUUCGGAUUGUAAAGCACUUUAAGUUGGGAGGAAGGGCAGUAAGUUAAUACCUUGCUGUUUUGACGGUACCAAAAGAAUAAGCACCGGCUAACUUCGUG
RNAcentral lists this ribosomal RNA (484 nucleotides) under uncultured bacterium. RNAcentral's name for it is "partial 16S ribosomal RNA". It matches the Rfam family "Bacterial small subunit ribosomal RNA", at positions 30 to 507 of the family's 1533-position model. The record is from RNAcentral.